RNAcentral lists this long non-coding RNA (518 nucleotides) under Phoenix dactylifera (date palm). RNAcentral's name for it is "long non-coding RNA (PDAC_LNC000155)". Lineage: Eukaryota; Viridiplantae; Streptophyta; Magnoliopsida; Arecales; Arecaceae. The record is from RNAcentral.
GUGUGUGAUAAAAAGAGAAAAGAUAGAAUGAAAAAUAAAGUAAUUUGAAAAAGGUAAAUUUUGCACCAAUUGAGAACAUAUUGAAAGAAGAAUGAUUUAGAUGAUCUGGACAUGUGCAAUAUAGGUCAAGGGAUGCACUACUAUGAAGGAAUUAUUUUGUAUAUGUAGAAAUAAUGAGGGCUAGAAGUAGACCGAAAACACAUGAGAUGAAUUAGUAGGGAAUGACUUGAUAUAUUUACAUCUCGUAGAAGUUGUGGCCUUCAAUGGAGCAGAAUAGAGGAAAAGAAUUAAUUUGGCCGACCCCAAUUAUAUUGGGAUUGAGGCUUAUUUGAGUUGACUUUCAAGAUUUAUUUACCUAAAAAAUGUUUACCCCAUAAUUUGAGUAAUUUCAAUCGUAAUAUAUUCUAAAGUAUUAAAAAGUCUAAAACCUUCUUAUUUUAGGUUUACCUUAUAUAAUCUUUGGUAGACUUCACCAUUUGCAAUCAUCUCUCCAGUUAGUGAGUUGUAACCAAUUUAUU